Molecule: ribosomal RNA, 253 nt
Filed under: uncultured bacterium
Lineage: Bacteria
Description: partial 16S ribosomal RNA
Rfam family: Bacterial small subunit ribosomal RNA
Source: RNAcentral
UACAGGGGGUGCAAACGUUGCUCGGAAUCAUUGGGCGUAAAGAGCUCGUAGGCGGUUUGUUGCGUCGGCUGUGAAAUCCCGAGGCUCAACCUCGGGUCUGCAGUCGAUACGAGCAAACUAGAGUGUUGCAGGGGAGACUGGAAUUCCUGGUGUAGCGGUGAAAUGCGCAGAUAUCAGGAGGAACACCGGUGGCGAAGGCGGGUCUCUGGGCAACAACUGACGCUGAGGAGCGAAAGCGUGGGGAGCGAACAGG